Molecule: ribosomal RNA, 465 nt
Filed under: uncultured bacterium
Lineage: Bacteria
Description: bacterial SSU rRNA
Rfam family: Bacterial small subunit ribosomal RNA
Source: RNAcentral
UCCAGACUCCUACGGGAGGCAGCAGUGAGGAAUAUUGGUCAAUGGGCGGGAGCCUGAACCAGCCAAGCCGCGUGAGGGAAGAAGGUACAGCGUAUCGUAAACCUCUUUUGUCAGGGAACAAAGGCGGGGACUAGUCCCCGGAUGAGGGUACCUGAAGAAAAAGCAUCGGCUAACUCCGUGCCAGCAGCCGCGGUAAUACGGAGGAUGCGAGCGUUAUCCGGAUUUAUUGGGUUUAAAGGGUGCGUAGGCGGGACGGUAAGUCAGCGGUAAAAAUGCGGAGCUCAACGCCGUCGAGCCGUUGAAACUGCCGUUCUUGAGUGAGCGAGAAGUAUGCGGAAUGCGUGGUGUAGCGGUGAAAUGCAUAGAUAUCACGCAGAACUCCGAUUGCGAAGGCAGCAUACCGGCGCGCAACUGACGCUCAUGCACGAAAGCGUGGGUAUCGAACAGGAUUAGAUACCCUUGUAU